This 667-nucleotide long non-coding RNA is filed under the name Olea europaea (common olive). RNAcentral describes it as "long non-coding RNA (OEUR_LNC011833)". The record is from RNAcentral. Lineage: Eukaryota; Viridiplantae; Streptophyta; Magnoliopsida; Lamiales; Oleaceae.
UGGGUUCUUCUACAAAAAAAUUUCCAUAUGAAAAAUGAACUUCAGAUAGCAAACAGACUUAGCAAUUCACAAAAAAUUAACAGAAAAAUAUCACAUCAGUAUAUGUUAAUACAGAUAAAAAUUUAAAAUAAUUCAUCAAUUUUUUAUUUUUUUUCAAAAAGUAGAGCCCUCAGAUCUCAUAGCUUCUAGAAUCACAGACGGCUAAUCCGGUGGGGAUCCAUCAGAGGCCUUGAACGCACCACCAUCACAACCAAGCAACCACGUGAAUGUGUGUGCCGUGUAUCUAUCUAUCAAUAGUAAAGAGUAGGAGGUGGAGGCGGUGGUGGUGGAGGUGGAGGUAGCUGAUUAUUCCAGUGAUGCGCGAAGGCCAACGAUGAAUCAAACACCACCAUGCCGCAUCAACGUAUUAAUUUUUCCAUCAUUGGGCAAAUUUUUAGAAAAACAAUCAAAUCCAAAGCGAAUUACAAAUUCAAAUAGACACAGGUGAGUGGCAACGGCGUGCAGUGCAGCCAAACUAGGGUUUUUAGAUCGAGAGGAGGAAGCGGAAAUAGGAUUUUAUAGACUUUUUGAUGGGUUUAAUCACUUAGUUGGGCUGUUGUAGAUAUUGAGAUUCCUUUAUAAUUGGGUCAAGCCCAAUAUUAUUCAUUCCAACAAGUAUUGACUUUUC